Molecule: transfer RNA, 75 nt
Filed under: Alphaproteobacteria bacterium
Lineage: Bacteria; Pseudomonadati; Pseudomonadota; Alphaproteobacteria
Description: tRNA-His
Rfam family: tRNA
About the family: Transfer RNA (tRNA) molecules are approximately 80 nucleotides in length. Their secondary structure includes four short double-helical elements and three loops (D, anti-codon, and T loops).
Source: RNAcentral
GCGACUGUAGCUCAGUGGUAGAGCAUCGGGUUGUGGUUCCGUGUGUCGGGGGUUCAAUUCCCCUCAGUCGCCCCA